CAAGUCGAACGAGUUCUCGUUGAUGAUCGGUGCUUGCACCGAGAUUCAACAUGGAACGAGUGGCGGACGGGUGAGUAACACGUGGGUAACCUGCCCUUAAGUGGGGGAUAACAUUUGGAAACAGAUGCUAAUACCGCAUAGAUCCAAGAACCGCAUGGUUCUUGGCUGAAAGAUGGCGUAAGCUAUCGCUUUUGGAUGGACCCGCGGCGUAUUAGCUAGUUGGUGAGGUAAUGGCUCACCAAGGCGAUGAUACGUAGCCGAACUGAGAGGUUGAUCGGCCACAUUGGGACUGAGACACGGCCCAAACUCCUACGGGAGGCAGCAGUAGGGAAUCUUCCACAAUGGACGCAAGUCUGAUGGAGCAACGCCGCGUGAGUGAAGAAGGCUUUCGGGUCGUAAAACUCUGUUGUUGGAGAAGAAUGGUCGGCAGAGUAACUGUUGUCGGCGUGACGGUAUCCAACCAGAAAGCCACGGCUAACUACGUGCCAGCAGCCGCGGUAAUACGUAGGUGGCAAGCGUUAUCCGGAUUUAUUGGGCGUAAAGCGAGCGCAGGCGGUUUUUUAAGUCUGAUGUGAAAGCCCUCGGCUUAACCGAGGAAGCGCAUCGGAAACUGGGAAACUUGAGUGCAGAAGAGGACAGUGGAACUCCAUGUGUAGCGGUGAAAUGCGUAGAUAUAUGGAAGAACACCAGUGGCGAAGGCGGCUGUCUGGUCUGUAACUGACGCUGAGGCUCGAAAGCAUGGGUAGCGAACAGGAUUAGAUACCCUGGUAGUCCAUGCCGUAAACGAUGAAUGCUAGGUGUUGGAGGGUU
Molecule: ribosomal RNA, 810 nt
Filed under: uncultured bacterium
Lineage: Bacteria
Description: bacterial SSU rRNA
Rfam family: Bacterial small subunit ribosomal RNA
Source: RNAcentral